GGAGAGUUAGCUCAGUCGGUAGAGCGCUACGUUGACAUCGUAGAGGUCGCUGGUUCGAUCCCAGUACUGUCCACCA
RNAcentral lists this transfer RNA (76 nucleotides) under Tissierellia bacterium. Its description in RNAcentral is "tRNA-Val". It matches the Rfam family "tRNA". Rfam says of the family: Transfer RNA (tRNA) molecules are approximately 80 nucleotides in length. Their secondary structure includes four short double-helical elements and three loops (D, anti-codon, and T loops). Lineage: Bacteria; Bacillati; Bacillota; Tissierellia. The record is from RNAcentral.